GAUGAACGCUGGCGGCGUGCCUAAUACAUGCAAGUCGAGCGAACGGACGAGAAGCUUGCUUCUCUGAUGUUAGCGGCGGACGGGUGAGUAACACGUGGAUAACCUACCUAUCAGACUGGGAUAACUUCGGGAAACCGGAGCUAAUACCGGAUAAUAUUUUGAACCGCAUGGUUCAAAAGUGAAAGACGGUCUUGCUGUCACUUAUAGAUGGAUCCGCGCUGCAUUAGCUAGUUGGUAAGGUAAAGGCUUACCAAGGCAACGAUGCAUAGCCGACCUGAGAGGGGGGUCGGCCACACUGGAACUGAGACACGGUCCAGACUCCUACGGGAGGCAGCAGUAGGGAAUCUUCCGCAAUGGGCGAAAGCCUGACGGAGCAACGCCGCGUGAGUGAUGAAGGUCUUCGGAUCGUAAAACUCUGUUAUUAGGGAAGAACAUAUGUGUAAGUAACUGUGCACAUCUUGACGGUACCUAAUCAGAAAGCCACGGCUAACUACGUG
RNAcentral lists this ribosomal RNA (497 nucleotides) under uncultured bacterium. RNAcentral describes it as "partial 16S ribosomal RNA". It matches the Rfam family "Bacterial small subunit ribosomal RNA", at positions 28 to 507 of the family's 1533-position model. The record is from RNAcentral.